UGGCCCCUUCCGGCUUUGCCCUUGUAAUCUUGUUCCAGUUUCUGAACAAUGUCCAAAAAAGGAAGGCCUGCUGGUAGGCGGAGCUGGAUUUUAUGGGAAAAGCCAACCCUCUUGUCGGGCCACUCCCGGUGAAAUUGAGACUUGAAGCUGCGAUGGCGCUUAAACGGUACAAUAAGGCAGAAUGCCACGCCGACCGACUUCGACAGCGGAAGCACGACCUCGAUGGGCAAGCGCGAGCGCUACUGCAGGAAUGGGUUGAUCGUCAGGCCGAGAAGGCGCCUGCAAGAGAGCUGGACGCGGUUGCAGCCCGGUAUCGGAUAAUUGU
RNAcentral lists this small RNA (325 nucleotides) under Sinorhizobium meliloti 2011. RNAcentral's name for it is "putative ncRNA". Lineage: Bacteria; Pseudomonadati; Pseudomonadota; Alphaproteobacteria; Hyphomicrobiales; Rhizobiaceae. The record is from RNAcentral.